CUGGGUUGUCCCAAGACGUUGGAGAUAAUUCAGCCUUCCAAGAGAACAGCAGUCUAGAUCUUAGCUGAAAAUGUGCUGUUUCUAAAGGAAGCUUCUUAAGUCUCAGGGGACAUUAGCAUCUUCAUAAUUUCCAUAUAUAAUAAGAAUGAAGGCUGUUUCAUUGGUCGUAUAAAAACAACCUUCUUCGAAGUUGAAUGUAUGUUUCUGCACAUAGACAAACCAUAUUUUACUGACUCAUUCUAUGUUGAAUAAAGGCAUACAGUUU
Molecule: long non-coding RNA, 265 nt
Filed under: Homo sapiens (human)
Lineage: Eukaryota; Metazoa; Chordata; Mammalia; Primates; Hominidae
Description: non-protein coding lnc-DTNB-4:1
Source: RNAcentral